GAUGAACGCUAGCUACAGGCUUAACACAUGCAAGUCGAGGGGCAGCAUUUUAGUUUGCUUGCAAACUGAAGAUGGCGACCGGCGCACGGGUGAGUAACACGUAUCCAACCUGCCGAUAACUCCGGAAUAGCCUUUCGAAAGAAAGAUUAAUACCGGAUAGCAUACGAAUAUCGCAUGAUAUUUUUAUUAAAGAAUUUCGGUUAUCGAUGGGGAUGCGUUCCAUUAGUUUGUUGGCGGGGUAACGGCCCACCAAGACUACGAUGGAUAGGGGUUCUGAGAGGAAGGUCCCCCACAUUGGAACUGAGACACGGUCCAAACUCCUACGGGAGGCAGCAGUGAGGAAUAUUGGUCAAUGGGCGAGAGCCUGAACCAGCCAAGUAGCGUGAAGGAUGAAGGCUCUAUGGGUCGUAAACUUCUUUUAUAUGGGAAUAAAGUUUUCCACGUGUGGAAUUUUGUAUGUACCAUAUGAAUAAGGAUCGGCUAACUCCGUGCCAGCAGCCGCGGUAAUACGGAGGAUCCGAGCGUUAUCCGGAUUUAUUGGGUUUAAAGGGAGCGUAGGUGGAUUGUUAAGUCAGUUGUGAAAGUUUGCGGCUCAACCGUAAAAUUGCAGUUGAAACUGGCAGUCUUGAGUACAGUAGAGGUGGGCGGAAUUCGUGGUGUAGCGGUGAAAUGCUUAGAUAUCACGAAGAACUCCGAUUGCGAAGGCAGCUCACUAGACUGUCACUGACACUGAUGCUCGAAAGUGUGGGUAUCAAACAGGAUUAGAUACCCUGGUAGUCCACACAGUAAACGAUGAAUACUCGCUGUUUGCGAUAUACAGUAAGCGGCCAAGCGAAAGCAUUAAGUAUUCCACCUGGGGAGUACGCCGGCAACGGUGAAACUCAAAGGAAUUGACGGGGGCCCGCACAAGCGGAGGAACAUGUGGUUUAAUUCGAUGAUACGCGAGGAACCUUACCCGGGCUUAAAUUGCAACAGAAUAUAUUGGAAACAGUAUAGCCGUAAGGCUGUUGUGAAGGUGCUGCAUGGUUGUCGUCAGCUCGUGCCGUGAGGUGUCGGCUUAAGUGCCAUAACGAGCGCAACCCUUAUCUUUAGUUACUAACAGGUUAUGCUGAGGACUCUAGAGAGACUGCCGUCGUAAGAUGUGAGGAAGGUGGGGAUGACGUCAAAUCAGCACGGCCCUUACGUCCGGGGCUACACACGUGUUACAAUGGGGGGUACAGAAGGCGGCUACCUGGUGACAGGAUGCUAAUCCCAAAAACCUCUCUCAGUUCGGAUCGAAGUCUGCAACCCGACUUCGUGAAGCUGGAUUCGCUAGUAAUCGCGCAUCAGCCAUGGCGCGGUGAAUACGUUCCCGGGCCUUGUACACACCGCCCGUCAAGCCAUGAAAGCCGGGGGUACCUGAAGUACGUAACCGCAAGGAGCGUCCUAGGGUAAAACUGGUAAUUGGGGCU
Molecule: ribosomal RNA, 1451 nt
Filed under: Bacteroides sp. J1511
Lineage: Bacteria; Pseudomonadati; Bacteroidota; Bacteroidia; Bacteroidales; Bacteroidaceae
Also listed under: 1 other name
Description: bacterial SSU rRNA
Rfam family: Bacterial small subunit ribosomal RNA
Source: RNAcentral